CCUACGGGCGGCAGCAGUGAGGAAUAUUGGUCAAUGGACGAGAGUCUGAACCAGCUAAGUAGCGUGAAGGAUGACUGCCCUAUGGGUUGUAAACAUCUUUUAUAUGGGAAUAAAACAGGGUAUGCAUACCCUCUUGUAUGUACCAUAUGAAUAAGGAACGGCUAACUUCGCGCCAGCAGCCGCGGUAAUACGGAGGGUACGAGCGUUACCCGGAUUUAUUGGGUUUAAAGGGAGCGUAGGUGGAUUGUUAAGGCAGUUGUGAAAGUUUGCGGCGCAACCGUAGAAUUGCAGUUGAAACUGGCAGUCUAGAGUGCAGUAGAGGUGGGCGGAAUUCGAAGUGUAGCGGUGAAAUGCUUAGAUAUCACGAAGAACUCCGAUUGCGAAGGCGGCUCACUGGACUGCAACUGACACUGAUGCUCGAAAGUGUGGGUAUCAAACAGGAUUAGAUACCCCAGUAGUC
This 460-nucleotide ribosomal RNA is filed under the name uncultured bacterium. RNAcentral describes it as "partial 16S ribosomal RNA". It matches the Rfam family "Bacterial small subunit ribosomal RNA", at positions 338 to 795 of the family's 1533-position model. The record is from RNAcentral.